RNAcentral lists this ribosomal RNA (401 nucleotides) under Selenomonas sputigena. RNAcentral describes it as "bacterial SSU rRNA". It matches the Rfam family "Bacterial small subunit ribosomal RNA", at positions 28 to 407 of the family's 1533-position model. The record is from RNAcentral. Lineage: Bacteria; Bacillati; Bacillota; Negativicutes; Selenomonadales; Selenomonadaceae.
GACGAACGCUGGCGGCGUGCUUAACACAUGCAAGUCGAACGGGAACCUUUAUUUCGGUAAGGGUGAGAGUGGCAAACGGGUGAGUAACACGUAGGCAACCUGCCGACAGGAUGGGGACAACAUUCCGAAAGGAAUGCUAAUACCGAAUGGAGUCCGGGGAUGGCAUCAUCUCCGGAUAAAAGAUGGCCUCUGAAUAUGCUAUCGCCUGUCGAUGGGCCUGCGUCUGAUUAGCCGGUUGGCGGGGUAACGGCCCACCAAAGCGACGAUCAGUAGCCGGUCUGAGAGGAUGAACGGCCACAUUGGGACUGAGACACGGCCCAGACUCCUACGGGAGGGCAGCAGUGGGGAAUCUUUCCCACAAUGGGCGAAAAGCCCUGAUGGAGCAAACCGCCGCGUGAAGU